GGCCACAAUACCAGCCAGGACAAGGAGGCGAGGAACACAUGCUUGGGGAAACCAAAGGAGUGAGCAGAAGAUGGUUUCUUCACACGCACAGAUACCUAUCAAGUGCCAAGUACGUGCCCAACGCUGUCCCAGCUGCGGACGGUAGAGCAGCACACAAAAUCUCUGCCGUCAGGGUGAGAAGCUUAUCUGCUUCUACAAGGUAUGCGUAUUUGUCAGUGUACCUCUACACCUGUGUGCCUGUAUGUAUAUGUCUGUAUCUGUGUAUCUCUGUCUAUGCCAUGUGACGACCAUGGGUGUGCAUAAGGACUUGACAGCUGGGAGAGAGAGAAAGCCAGGUAAAGAGGGAUGUGAAGCAGGAGUGCCCGGGGUGGGGGCGGGGGAGAACCUGGACGUUAGCUCUGUUUUACGGAUGGGAAGUGGCGUUCCCUAGAGGGCGCUUGUAACCAAGAGAGGCCAAUACAUGCUUGGCACCUCCACGAGGACCCGGAUCAGAGAGGUGUCGUCAUUGUCCCCGCUGUACAGUUAACAAACCUGAGGGCCCACGCGGUCAACAGACUGCCCGAGUCCCGACUUUGCUUCACAUGAGCUGUGUGACCUGAGGCAAAUUGCUUAGAAAUGUGCCAAGUCUUCAACAUCCCAUGUGUGCGUUACCCUCGGGGCAGGGCACACUCAGGAAGGACUAAGCACACACCCGGCGCUCAGCAGCCACCUGCGGCUGUGGGCUGGACAGCGCGUGUCCACGGAAUGGGGAUGGUGAGGACAAGGUGGGGAUCAGAGCGGAAUGAAAUGAGUGAGGCGCCUGCCUUGGGAAAACGAAAACCGUAAGGGAGCACCAAAAACACCGGGAAUACCUCCUCAUCAAGACAAUAAAUACUAUUAAAAUAGUAUUUCUCUUGAUGACUGAA
Long non-coding RNA from Myotis brandtii (Brandt's bat), 905 nucleotides. RefSeq lists it as uncharacterized. The transcript has 3 exons. The record is from RefSeq and is a predicted model, not a curated record. Lineage: Eukaryota; Metazoa; Chordata; Mammalia; Chiroptera; Vespertilionidae.